UCCUUGGUAGUCCAAUGGUUAGGACGUUGUGCUUCCAAAGCAGAGGGCCAAGGUUCAAGCCCUGGUCGGGGAA
Non-coding RNA from Cervus elaphus (red deer), 73 nucleotides. Lineage: Eukaryota; Metazoa; Chordata; Mammalia; Artiodactyla; Cervidae. The record is from the annotation of a RefSeq genome assembly.